Molecule: transfer RNA, 71 nt
Filed under: Phalcoboenus australis
Lineage: Eukaryota; Metazoa; Chordata; Aves; Falconiformes; Falconidae
Description: tRNA-Phe
Source: RNAcentral
GUCCCUGUAGCUUACAACUAAAGCAUGGCACUGAAGAUGCCAAGAUGGCCCACCCACUAAACCCUGGGACA